This 1385-nucleotide ribosomal RNA is filed under the name Apilactobacillus kunkeei. RNAcentral's name for it is "bacterial SSU rRNA". It matches the Rfam family "Bacterial small subunit ribosomal RNA". Lineage: Bacteria; Bacillati; Bacillota; Bacilli; Lactobacillales; Lactobacillaceae. The record is from RNAcentral.
UUGAUUUUAUGCUUGCAUAAAUGAUUUUUGGAUUCGGAGCGAGUGGCGAACUGGUGAGUAACACGUGGGUAACCUGCCCCGAAGCGGGGGAUAACAUUUGGAAACAAGUGCUAAUACCGCAAAUUAGUUGGAACCGCAUGGUUCCAACUUGAAAGAUGGCUCUGCUAUCACUUUGGGAUGGACCCGCGCCGUAUUAGUUAGUUGGUGAGAUAAAAGCCCACCAAGACGAUGAUACGUAGCCGACCUGAGAGGGUAAUCGGCCACAUUGGGACUGAGACACGGCCCAGACUCCUACGGGAGGCAGCAGUAGGGAAUCUUCCACAAUGGACGAAAGUCUGAUGGAGCAACGCCGCGUGAGUGAUGAAGGUUUUCGGAUCGUAAAACUCUGUUGUUAAAGAAGAACAAGUGUUAGAGUAACUGUUAACACUUUGACGGUAUUUAACCAGAAAGCCACGGCUAACUACGUGCCAGCAGCCGCGGUAAUACGUAGGUGGCAAGCGUUGUCCGGAUUUAUUGGGCGUAAAGCGAGCGCAGGCGGUUUUGUAAGUCUGCUGUGAAAGCCCUCAGCUCAACUGAGGAAGUGCAGUGGAAACUACAAAACUUGAGUACAGAAGAGGAAAGUGGAACUCCAUGUGUAGCGGUGAAAUGCGUAGAUAUAUGGAAGAACACCAGUGGCGAAGGCGGCUUUCUGGUCUGUUACUGACGCUGAGGCUCGAAAGCAUGGGUAGCGAACAGGAUUAGAUACCCUGGUAGUCCAUGCCGUAAACGAUGAAUACUAGGUGUUGGAGGGUUUCCGCCCUUCAGUGCCGCAGCUAACGCAUUAAGUAUUCCGCCUGGGGAGUACGACCGCAAGGUUGAAACUCAAAGGAAUUGACGGGGGCCCGCACAAGUGGUGGACAAUGUGGUUUAAUUCGAUGCUACGCGAAGAACCUUACCAGCUCUUGACAUCUUCUGCCAACCCAAGAGAUUGGGCGUUCCCUUCGGGGACAGAAUGACAGGUGGUGCAUGGUUGUCGUCAGCUCGUGUCGUGAGAUGUUGGGUUAAGUCCCGCAACGAGCGCAACCCUUAUUAUUAGUUGCCAGCAUUUAGUUGGGCACUCUAGUGAGACUGCCGGUGAUAAACCGGAGGAAGGUGGGGACGACGUCAAAUCAUCAUGCCCCUUAUGAGCUGGGCUACACACGUGCUACAAUGGAUGGUACAACGAGUCGCGAAACCGCGAGGUCAAGCUAAUCUCUUAAAGCCAUUCUCAGUUCGGAUUGCAGGCUGCAACUCGCCUGCAUGAAGUUGGAAUCACUGUAAUCGUGGAUCAGCAUGCCACGGUGAAUACGUUCCCGGGCCUUGUACACACCGCCCGUCACACCAUGAGAGUUUGUAACACCCAAAGA